AGCAUAUCAAUAAGCGGAGGAAAAGAAACCAACAGGGAUUGCCCUAGUAACGGCGAGUGAAGCGGCAACAGCUCAAAUUUGAAAUCUGGCUCUUGUAGGGCCCGAGUUGUAAUUUGCAGAGGGUGCUUUGGCGUUGGCCGCGGUCUAAGUUCCUUGGAACAGGACGUCACAGAGGGUGAGAAUCCCGUACGUGGCUGCGUGUCUUCGCCGUGUAAAGCCCCUUCGACGAGUCGAGUUGUUUGGGAAUGCAGCUCUAAAUGGGGGGUAAAUUUCUUCUAAAGCUAAAUAUUGGCCAGAGACCGAUAGCGCACAAGUAGAGUGAUCGAAAGAUGAAAAGCACUUUGGAAAGAGAGUCAAACAGCACGUGAAAUUGUUGAAAGGGAAGCGCUUGCAGCCAGACCUGCCUGUAGUUGCUCAUCUAGGCUUCUGCCUGGUGCACUCUUCUGCGGGCAGGCCAGCAUCAGUCCGGGCGGUUGGAGAAAGGCCUCUUUCAUGUAUCUUCCUUCGGGAUGACCUUAUAGAGGAGGCGCAAUGCAGCCAGUCCGGAUUGAGGUCCGCGCAUCUGCUAGGAUGCNGGCGUAAUGGCUGUAAGCGGCCCGU
Molecule: ribosomal RNA, 600 nt
Filed under: uncultured fungus
Lineage: Eukaryota; Fungi
Description: eukaryotic LSU rRNA
Rfam family: Eukaryotic large subunit ribosomal RNA
Source: RNAcentral